UGAGUAACCUGCCCUUAACUCUGGGAUAAGCCUGGGAAACUGGGUCUAAUACCGGAUAUGACUCCUCAUCGCAUGGUGGGGGGUGGAAAGCUUUAUUGUGGUUUUGGAUGGACUCGCGGCCUAUCAGCUUGUUGGUGAGGUAAUGGCUCACCAAGGCGACGGACGGGUAGCCGGCCUGAGAGGGUGACCCGGCCACACGUGGGACUGAGACACGGCCCAGACCUCCCGUAACGGGGAGGCAGG
RNAcentral lists this ribosomal RNA (243 nucleotides) under uncultured bacterium. RNAcentral describes it as "partial 16S ribosomal RNA". It matches the Rfam family "Bacterial small subunit ribosomal RNA", at positions 118 to 351 of the family's 1533-position model. The record is from RNAcentral.